RNAcentral lists this ribosomal RNA (253 nucleotides) under uncultured bacterium. Its description in RNAcentral is "partial 16S ribosomal RNA". It matches the Rfam family "Bacterial small subunit ribosomal RNA", at positions 524 to 776 of the family's 1533-position model. The record is from RNAcentral.
GACAGAGGGUGCAAACGUUGUUCGGAAUUACUGGGCGUAAAGCGAGUGUAGGCGGUUUGGUAAGUCGGAUGUGAAAGCCCUGGGCUCAACCCAGGAAGUGCAUUCGAUACUGUCAAGCUAGAGUAUCGGAGAGGUUGGUGGAAUUCUCGGUGUAGAGGUGAAAUUCGUAAAUAUCGAGAGGAACACCGGUGGCGAAGGCGGCCAACUGGACGAAUACUGACGCUGAGACUCGAAAGCGUGGGGAGCAAACAGG